RNAcentral lists this long non-coding RNA (981 nucleotides) under Olea europaea subsp. europaea. Lineage: Eukaryota; Viridiplantae; Streptophyta; Magnoliopsida; Lamiales; Oleaceae. The record is from RNAcentral.
AGAAAAGGUUGGGUUAAUUUCACAAACGGUCACUGAAAAGUUACAAAACGGUCCCUGAAGUUUAAAACUUUCAUAAACGGUCUCUUAAGUUUCGGGCGAUUUCACUAAUGGUCACUGAAGUUUUUAAAACUUUCAUAAAUGGUCACUUCAGGUACCAAAAUGAUUCUAAUUCAAACUUAAGGAUCGAAACACGUGACCAUACAAUUUUUUAAGGACCUUCUGUGCAAAAUAUUUUCCUCCCACUUCCAUGUUCACUCCCCUUCUCCGACACCGGUGGUUCAAGGCCAAAAUCGAGCCCCCUACCGCCAGAUAAACCACCAGAUUUUUACACCAAAAACACCUCAUCAUCCCCCUCCACAAUCCUAUAUCAAUAAUCAACCAAAACACAUAAAAAAUGAAAUGAAAUUCGGGUUCAAAAAAACUGUAAUCAUGCACGAUUUUCUUCGAAUUCCGGCCAACCCACCAUCAGCCAUAUCAAAACUCCAUCAUAGGCUGUUAGUACUCCCCAAAACGAACAAAUACAUGGUCUCAUAUCAUCACAAAACAAUUUCAAUCAAAAUCGAAAUGAUACCAGUUCGAAGGCAGCCGGCAACGAACUUUCCUCUCCAAUUUUCGGCGCCGACAUCAACAAUUACGGUCGCUUACCACCACCAUUACCUUCUACUCAUCAUGGCGAACAAGAUGCACAUAUGGGUCCUCACCAAUUUAUCUCGAAUCAGCCAAUUUCUGUUCAUGCAUCUUCUACACGUGAAUGGCUUUCGAAACGAUUUCAAUUGAGCACUCAAAUCUUAUCCAACCUAUAAAUAAACAUGGGGAAACUGAAAUUCAUCAUUAAAAGAAAACAUUGGGUAUCCCUUCAAUUGCAGAAAUUACAUCACCAGCUUGUCAAAUUUUGGGGUCAAAUGCUUGAAGUGCCACCGGAAAUUGAAGGGAGGAGGAAAAUGGGAAACUGAAUUUUUUUACCUGAGGUCCUUAAAAAAU